RNAcentral lists this ribosomal RNA (440 nucleotides) under uncultured bacterium. RNAcentral's name for it is "partial 16S ribosomal RNA". It matches the Rfam family "Bacterial small subunit ribosomal RNA", at positions 338 to 795 of the family's 1533-position model. The record is from RNAcentral.
CCUACGGGCGGCAGCAGUGGGGAAUAUUGCUCAAUGGGGGAAACCCUGAAGCAGCAACGCCGCGUGGAGGAUGAAGGUUUUCGGAUUGUAAACUCCUUUUGUUAGAGAAGAUAAUGACGGUAUCUAACGAAUAAGCACCGGCUAACUCCGUGCCAGCAUCCGCUGUAAUACGGAGGGUGCACGCGUUACUCGGAAUCCCUGGGCGGAAAGCGGGCGUAGGCGGGAUAGCAAGUCACAUGUGAAAUCCUAGUGCUUAACCAUAGAACUGCAUUUGAAACUGUUAUUCUAGAGUAUGGGAGAGGUAGGGGGAAUUCUUGGUGUAGGGGUAAAAUACGUAGAGAUCAAGAGGAAUACUCAUUGCGAAGGCGACCUGCUAGAACAUAACUGACGCUGAUGCGCGAAAGCGUGGGGAGCAAACAGGAUUAGAUACCCCAGUAGUC